GAUGAACGCUGGCGGCGUGCCUAAUACAUGCAAGUCGAACGCAUAGCGAAAGGUGCUUGCACCUUUCAAGUGAGUGGCGAAAGGGUAAGCAACACUUGGACAACCUUCCUCAAGACUGGGGUUAACACUUGGAAACAGAUGCUAAUACCGAAUAAAACUUAGAGUCGUCUGACACAAAGUUAAAAGGCGCUUCGGCGUCACCUAGCGAUGGAUCCCCGGUGCAGUAGUUAGUUGGUGGGGGAAAGGCAUACCAAGACUAUUAUGCAUAGCCGAUUUGAGAGAGAGGUCCGACACAUUGGGAGUGAGACAGAGCAGCAACACCUGCGGGAGGCUGCAGUAGGGAAUCUUCCGGAAUGGAGGAGUGGGUGAUAGUGCAACGCCGGGUGAAGGAUGAAGGCUUUAGGGUGGGAGAGUACUGUAGUACGGGAAGAACUGCAGCAAUAGGAAAUGAGUAUAGUAUGACGGUACCAUAAGAGGAAGGGACGGCUAAAUACGUG
Molecule: ribosomal RNA, 497 nt
Filed under: uncultured bacterium
Lineage: Bacteria
Description: partial 16S ribosomal RNA
Rfam family: Bacterial small subunit ribosomal RNA
Source: RNAcentral